GGAUGAUGCAAUGUCCAGCCAUCAACACAUUUGUGAAGGAAUUUUUACUCCCCAAAAGAGCGCCCCCCCAUGGCAGGACAAAAAAGUCAAUUUUUUCUUGUCCCCUAAGGUGAAAAUACACAUUGUUGAAUGUCACGCCUGUACGCUUUGUCAUAUUGACACAAAAUUUGACAAUCACGUGUAUCUCAAUAAGAUCUACGAAAAAGUCAAUGCGCGCGUAUCUGUAAAAUGUACGGUUAAAGGGCUAUUUCGCAUUUUUUGCCGAUUCGCACACAUUGGAAUGUGGCUAACUCCUCCUAAGGCUUUCGUCCCACUGACACCAAAUUUGCUCAGGCCAAUCUACACCCCAUGGCCAUUCAAAGUUGUAAAAAUCAUGACGCUGCACCCCAUGGUCUACGUUCUAGGGGGCGCCAAAGAGGACCCAAAUAUCCACAUUUUUAAAGUCUUAUAACUUUUUAUUUUUGUCCUCACUGGCCUCCAAGUUUUCUAGGAUGAUGCAAUGUCCAGCCAUCAACACAUUUGUGAAGGAAUUUUUUCUCCCCAAAAGAGCGCCCCCCAAUGGCAGAAGAAAAAGUCAAGUUUUUCCUGCCCAUCGCUCAAUGGCUCAAACGCAUCGCUCUCUGGGCAAAACCGAAAGGAGGAGCAACUUGCCAUUUGGAUAUAUACUAGCUGUGUUUGUGCCCUCACUCAUGGUCCAGACUUUUUUCAAAAAGGACAUGGAGUUUGUCUGCAGCGAGCGUUUUGGUAGAAACUGCGCCUCCCAUUCAUUAUAAUGGUAAAUGACCACAGACAAGUGCGCACACCAUCUUUGGACCUUGAGUGUGACGCGAUCGGGAGGGGUAGGCGGUCGCGCUGGGGGCGGCGUGACACGGCUCGGGCCCGCCAGUGCCCCACCGGGGCCCUAGUUCUUUCUUUCUUUCUUCUUUUUCCUCCCCUUUGAACUGGAAAAUGGCCCACUUCCCACUGGCGAAAACUCAUGAAAUUUGGCAGGACGACCGGGCCUGGUGAAAAAUUCGAUAUUCUGAAGUCGCCCAAACAAUAAAAUGCAAAAUGGCUCCAUAGCGCCCCCUAAGGUGGAAAUUCACACUAUUGACUGUCACGCCUGUACGCUUUGUCAUAUUGACACAAAAAUUGACACACAUAUGUAUCUCAAUAAGAUCUACAAAAAAGUCAGUGCGGCCGUAUCUGUCAAAUGUACGGUUAAAGGGUUAUUUCGCAUUUUUUGCCGAUCCGCACACAUUGGAAUUUCGCUAACUCCUCCGAAGGCUUUCGUUCCACCGGCACCACAUUUGCUCAGGCCAAUCUACACCCCGUGGCCAUUAAAAGUUAUCAAAAUCAUGACGCUGCACCCCAAGGUUUAGGUUCUAGGGGGCGCCAAAGAUAACACUAAAAUCCACAUAUUUCAAAGUCUUAUAACUUUUUAUUUUUGUCCCCACUGGCCUCCAAGUUUUCUAGGAUGAUGCAAUGUCCAGCCAUCAACACAUUUGUGAAGGAAUUUUUACUCGCCAAAAGAGCGCCCCCCCAUGGCAGGAGAAAAAAGUCCAUUUUUUCUUGUCCCCUAAGGUGAAAAUACACAUUGUUGACUGUCACGCCUUUACGCUUUGUCAAAAUGACACAAAAAUUGACACACACAUGUAACUCAAUAAGAUCUACGAAAAAGUCAAUGCGCGCGUAUCUGUCAAAUGUACGGUUAAAGGGUUAUUCCGCAUUUUUUGCCGAUCCGCACACAUUGGAAUUUCGCUAACUCCUCCGAAGGCUUUCGUUCCAACGGCACCACAUUUGCUCAGGCCAAUCUGCACCCCAUGGCCAUUAAAAGUUAUUCAAAUCAUGACGCUGCACCCCACGGUUUAGGUUCUAGGGGGCGCCAAAGACAACCCUAAAAUCCACAUAUUUCAAAGUCUUAUAACUUUUUAUUUUUGUCCUCACUGGCCUCCAAGUUUUCUAGGAUGAUGCAAUGUCCAGCCAUCAACACAUUUGUGAAGGAAUUUUUACUCCCCAAAAGAGCGCCCCCCCAUGGCAGGAGAAAAAAGUCCAUUUGUUCUUGUCCCCUAAGGUGAAAAUACAUAUUGUUGAGAUUCACGCCUAUACGCUUUGUCAUAUUGACACAAAAUUUGACACACAUAUGUAUCUCAAUAAGAUCUACAAAAAAGUCAGUGCGGCCGUAUCUGUCAAAUGUACGGUUAAAGGGUUAUUUCGCAUUUUUUGCCGAUCCGCACACAUUGGAAUUUCGCUAACUCCUCCGAAGGCUUUCGUUCCACCGGCACCACAUUUGCUCAGGCCAAUCUACACCCCGUGGCCAUUAAAAGUUAUUCAAAUCAUGACGCUGCACCCCACAGUUUAGGUUCUAGGGGGCGCCAAAGACAACCCUAAAAUCCACAUAUUUCAAAGUCUUAUAACUUUUUAUUUUUGUCCUCACUGGCCUCCAAGUUUUCUAGGAUGAUGCAAUGUCCAGCCAUCAACACAUUUGUGAAGGAAUUUUUACUCCCCAAAAGAGCGCCCCCCCAUGGCAGGAGAAAAAAGUCCAUUUGUUCUUGUCCCCUAAGGUGAAAAUACAUAUUGUUGAGAUUCACGCCUAUACGCUUUGUCAUAUUGACACAAAAUUUGACACACAUAUGUAUCUCAAUAAGAUCUACAAAAAAGUCAGUGCGGCCGUAUCUGUCAAAUGUACGGUUAAAGGGUUAUUUCGCAUUUUUUGCCGAUCCGCACACAUUGGAAUUUCGCUAACUCCUCCGAAGGCUUUCGUUCCACCGGCACCACAUUUGCUCAGGCCAAUCUACACCCCGUGGCCAUUAAAAGUUAUCAAAAUCAUGACGCUGCACCCCAAGGUUUAGGUUCUAGGGGGCGCCAAAGAUAACACUAAAAUCCACAUAUUUUAAAGUCUUAUAACUUUUUAUUUUUGUCCUCACUGGCCUCCAAGUUUUCUAGGAUGAUGCAAUGUCCAGCCAUCAACACAUUUGUGAAGGAAUUUUUACUCCCCAAAAGAGCGCCCCCCCAUGGCAGGAGAAAAAAGUCCAUUUUUUCUUGUCCCCUAAGGUGAAAAUACACAUUGUUGACUGUCACGCCUUUACGCUUUGUCAAAAUGACACAAAAAUUGACACACACAUGUAACUCAAUAAGAUCUACGAAAAAGUCAAUGCGCGCGUAUCUGUCAAAUGUACGGUUAAAGGGUUAUUCCGCAUUUUUUGCCGAUCCGCACACAUUGGAAUUUCGCUAACUCCUCCGAAGGCUUUCGUUCCAACGGCACCACAUUUGCUCAGGCCAAUCUACACCCCAUGGCCAUUAAAAGUUAUUCAAAUCAUGACGCUGCACCCCACGGUUUAGGUUCUAGGGGGCGCCAAAGACAACCCUAAAAUCCACAUAUUUCAAAGUCUUAUAACUUUUUAUUUUUGUCCUCACUGGCCUCCAAGUUUUCUAGGAUGAUGCAAUGUCCAGCCAUCAACACAUUUGUGAAGGAAUUUUUACUCCCCAAAAGAGCGCCCCCCCAUGGCAGGAGAAAAAAGUCCAUUUUUUCUUGUCCCCUAAGGUGAAAAUACAUAUUGUUGAGAUUCACGCCUAUACGCUUUGUCAUAUUGACACAAAAUUUGACAAUCACGUGCCUUGCCUGGUAUCAUUUUUUUUCAGCACAACCUCACCUGUGCGAAUUUACAGUUAUUUUAUCAUGUUGACAUACUGAAUUUACACAAUGGACCCAAAUUCACACACAAAACAUAAAAUCCGAGUGGAAAAAAGUAACAUUUUUACUGUGAAAACCACAAAUAUGUGUGAUGAACUGUUUUUAAAACUUAAACUUCACAUAAAAAUUGUAAACCUCAAAACAUAUGCAAAUUUUUAACAAAGAACAUAGUGAUUUACCUCUAUUUACAUCAAAAUGCAGGCAAUGGCCCAGGCGUUCUUUGUAAAAUUAUUUACAAAACAGUAGUGUAAAGUGUCUAUGGCACAAAAAAAAAAAAAAACUGAAAAUGCCUCAACAUGAACCCCUGGUGGUCUCUGAGGGUGAAACCUGCUAACUGCUGCAGCUCUGUCAGCUUCAGUCUCCCAUGCAGAGCUCGGAGCGCAUGUGUGGCUCUGCACCCUUAGCAGCGUUGCUAACUCCUCAGUAAGGAAAGCCUGCUUCAUGUCUGAGUCUCUAAACUCCAGAAGAAGUCGAUAAAAGUCCCUUUCUUUCUAAAAAAAAGUCGUUAGGGGGUCUGAAAAGUCAUUGAAUCUAACAACAAAGUCGCUAGGUUUGCAACUACGUGUCCCAGACUGCAUCCCUGCUGAGAGUCCCUCCCUCCCUUCUCAUGUUGCAGGAAGAACGUAAGCGCCCGCCCCUUCUCAAUCAGUCACCAUAUAAUUUUGGAUUGGUUGUUGUGGUGAAGUUUUCCACCAAUAGGAGAGAUGUUGUGGUGUGUUUUUUUUUCUUUUGGCAAGCCUUUUCCGCCUGUAAGACCUGUCGCUAAUGUCUGCAUGCUAUGUUUUCCUGUCUCAUACAGCGCGAUCGAGCGCCGAACGUGAUCAAAAUAAGCAGAAAAAAAGUAUCGCGGACAUAAUUUAUCAUAACUCUGGUUUUAUUUGGCCUAUCAACACAAUUUAAAAACUGGUAUAUAGGUUGAGGUCCUCACUUUUGAGAUAAGUUGAAACGGAGAGUCAACGAGGCUCCGUCUUGCAGCUACAUCCGGUUAAAUAUGUCAUGUGACUUGAACGCACACACAGACACACACACACGCACACACACACACACACACACACACACACACACACACACACACACACACACACUCAGAGUCUGGUUUUUAGCACCUGCAAAAACAUGCUAUUUACAUAUUUGACAAGAAUGCAGAGGCUCCUUUUGCCCCUGAAAAAAAUCAAAUUUCAAACACAACUUGACUGGUCAUUUCUCCAAAAGACAACCAUGAAGCUCCAUCCAAACCUGAAGCAGGCAGUUGGUGCAUGUGUACAGUAACCUGAGGGGAGUGAGGUGAGUGCUUCUGAGGAGAACAUGAGCAGUGAAGAUUCACCUUGGAGCUAGAACAGAGACAUGCACAUGAUUAUACAGGGGCAGGGGCUCAAGUUUUUUCCAGUCGUUUAUACAAUAUGGAAAUUAAUGUGAAAUUAAAACACAAAGUAUUAAUAGAAAGGUAAUGACUGUCCUGUGUAGGUGACAGUGAUAUCCAAUAGGCUAGGCACUCACGAGGCUGGCUGUGGCAAGUGUAAGUGAAAGCAACACGCACUGGCAGGAAGAACAGCAAACGCCGAUGAAGGAAAAGGGUCUUUGCAGUGAUGGGCGUUACCAGAGAGGGCGAUGGCCAGAGGACACAAAUGGGACGGGGAGGCAGCACGUUGGGGGGGGAAGGCGACACGGCUCGGGCCCGCCAGUGCCCCAACGGGGUCCUAGUUAGGGCCCGAGCGUAGCUGCUAAGCAGCUGCGAGAGCCCUCUUGUUCCUGAUGGAUUCUUCUUUUUAGGGCCCGAGCGUAGCUGCUAAGCAGCUGCGAGAGCCCUAUUAUUCCCCAAGUGGUUUUUCUUUGUUUCUUUCUUUAGGGCCCGAGCCAGCUGCAGAGCAGCCGGGCGUAGGCCCUAUUAUUCCCCAAGUGGUUUUUCUUUGUUUCUUUCUUUCUUUCUUUCUUUCUUUCUUCUUUUUCCUCCCCUUUGAACUGGAAAAUGGCCCACUUCCCACUGGCGAAAACUCAUGAAAUUUGGCAGGACGACCGGGCCUGGUGAAAAAUUCGAUAUUCUGAAGUCGCCCAAACAAUAAAAUGCAAAAAGGCUCCAUAGCGCCCCCUAAGGUGGAAAUUCACACUAUUGACUGUCACGCCUGUACGCUUUGUCAUAUUGACACAAAAAUUGACACACAUAUGUAUCUCAAUAAGAUCUACAAAAAAGUCAGUGCGGCCGUAUCUGUCAAAAUUACGGUUAAAGGGUUAUUUUGCAUUUUUUGCCGAUCCGCACACAUUGGAAUUUCGCUAACUCCUCCGAAGGCUUUCGUUCCACCGGCACCACAUUUGCUCAGGCCAAUCUACACCCCGUGGCCAUUAAAAGUUAUCAAAAUCAUGACGCUGCACCCCAAGGUUUAGGUUCUAGGGGGCGCCAAAGAUAACACUAAAAUCCACAUAUUUAAAAGUCUUAUAACUUUUUAUUUUUGUCCUCACUGGCCUCCAAGUUUUCUAGGAUGAUGCAAUGUCCAGCCAUCAACACAUUUGUGAAGGAAUUUUUACUCCCCAAAAGAGCGCCCCCCAUGGCAGGAGAAAAAAGUCCAUUUUUUCUUGUCCCCUAAGGUGAAAAUACACAUUGUUGAGUGUCACGCCUAUACGCUUUGUCAAAAUGACACAAAAAUUGACACACACAUGUAUCUCAAUAAGAUCUACAAAAAAGUCCAUGCGCGCGUAUCUGUCAAAUGUACAGUUAAAGGGUUAUUCCGCAUUUUUUGCCGAUACGCACACAUUGGAAUUUCGCUAACUCCUCCGAAGGCUUUCGUUCCACCGGCACCACAUUUGCUCAGGCCAAUCUACACCCCAUGGCCAUUAAAAGUUAUUCAAAUCAUGAUGCUGCACCCCAUGGUUUAGGUUCUAGGGGGCGCCAAAAAUAACCCAAAAAUCCACAUUCUUAAAUGUUUUAUAACUUUUUUUUUUUUAUCCUCACUGGCCUCCAAGUUUUCUAGGAUGAUGCAAUGUCCAGCCAUCAACACAUUUGUGAAGUAAUUUUUACUCCCCAAAAGAGCGCCCCCCCAUGGUAGGAGAAAAAAGUCAAUUUUUUCUUGUCCCCUUACAUAAAAAUACACAUUGUUGAGUGUCACGCCUGAACGCUUUGUCAUAUUGACACAAAAAUUGACAAUCAUGUGUAUCUCAAUUAGAUCUACGAAAAAGUCAAAGAGCGCGUAUCUGUAUAAUGUACGGUUAAAGGGCUAUUUUGCAUUUUUUGCCGAUUCGCACACAUUGGAAUGUGGCUAUCUCCUCCUAAGGCUUUCGUCCCACCGAUACCAAAUUUGCUCAGGCCAAUCUACACCCCAUGGCCAUUCAAAUUUGUAAAAAUCAUGACGCUGCACCCCACGGUUUACGUUCUAGGGGGCGCCAAAGAUGACCCAAAAAUCCACAUUCUUAAAAGUCAUUUUGGCCACUGCAGGAGUACAGAGUACUGCAGUUCUAGGGGGCGCCAAAGAUGACCCAAAAAUCCACAUUCUUAAAAGUCUUUUUGGCCACUGCAGGAGUACAGCGUACUGCAGGAUACACACACACAUACACACACGCCAACAUACACACACACACACACACACACACACACACACACACACUCACACACUCAGAGUCUGUUUUUUAGCACCUGCAAAAACAUGCUGUUUACAUAUUUGACAAGAAUGCAGAGGCUUCCUUUUGCCCCUGAAAAAAAAUCAAAUUUCAAACACAACUUGACUGUUCAUUUCUCCAAAAGACAACCAUGAAGCUCCAUUUCAAACCUGAAGCAGAUAGUUGGUGCAUGUGUACAGUAACCUGAGGGGAGUGAGGUGACUAUUUCUGAGGAGAACAUGAGCAGUGAAGAUUCACCUUGGAGCUAGAACAGGGACGUGCACAUGAUUAUACAGGGGCAGGGGCUCAAGUUUUUUCCAGUCAUUUAUACAAUAUGGAAAUUAAUGUGAAAUUAAACCACAAAUAUGUGUGAUGAACUGUUUUUAAAACUUAAACUUCAAAUAAAAAUUGUAAACUUCAAAACAUAUGCAAAUUUUUAACAAAGAACAUAGUAAUUUACCUCUAUUUACAUCAAAAUGCAGGCAAUGGCCCAGGCGUUCUUUGUAAAAUUAUUUACAAAACACUGUAUAGUCUCACAAAUGUCACUUUUUAUUUAUGCCACUACAAAAAAACAUGAUGUAAAUGAUGCAUGAUGUAAAACAUGAUGUAAAAAACUUGUGUAGAUCCUCCUCUAUGUCAGUCCAUGUGUAAUUUUUCCAUAAUUCUUUGUUUUUUGCAGCAUUUUUGUUAGUGUAACUGCAGAUUGUGCUGACAGUGUCUAUGGCACAAAAAAAAAAAAAAAUUAAAAUGCCUCAACAUGAACCCCUGGUGGUCUCUGAGGGUGAAACCUGCUAACUGCUGCAGCUCUGUCAGCUUCAGUCUCCCAUGCAGAGCUCUGAGCGCAUGUGUGGCUCUGCACCCUUAGCAGCGUUGCUAACUCCUCAGUAAGGAAAGCCUGCUUCAUGUCAGAGUCUCUAAACUCCAGAAGAAGUCGAUAAAAGUCCCUUUCUUUCUAAAAAAAAGUCGUUAGGGGGUCUGAAAAGUCAUUGAAUCUAACAACAAAGUCGCUAGGUUUGCAACUACGUGUCCCAGACUGCAUCCCUGCUGAGAGUCCCUCCCUCCCUUCUCAUGUUGCAGGAAGAACGUAAGCGCCCGCCCCUUGUCAAUCAGUCACCAUAUAAUUUUGGAUUGGUUGUUGUGGUGAAGUUUUCCACCAAUAGGAGAGAUGUUGUGGUGUGUUUUUUUUUUCUUUUGGCAAGCCUUUUCCGCCUGUAAGACCUGUCGCUAAUGUCUGCAUGCUAUGUUUUCCUGUCUCAUACAGCGCGAUCGAGCGCCGAACGUGAUCAAAAUAAGCAGAAAACAAGUAUCGCGGACAUAAUUUAUCAUAACUCUGGUUUUAUUUGGCCUAUCAACACAAUUUAAAAACUGGUAUAUAGGUUGAGGUCCUCACUUUUGAGAUAAGUUGAAACGGAGAGUCAACGAGGCUCCGUCUUGCAGCUACAUCCGGUUAAAUAUGUCAUGUGACUUGAACGCACACAUAGACACACACACACGCACACACACACACACACACACACACACACACACACACACACACACACACUCAGAGUCUGGUUUUUAGCACCUGCAAAAACAUGCUAUUUACAUAUUUGACAAGAAUGCAGAGGCUCCUUUUGCCCCUGAAAAAAAUCAAAUUUCAAACACAACUUGACUGGUCAUUUCUCCAAAAGACAACCAUGAAGCUCCAUCCAAACCUGAAGCAGGCAGUUGGUGCAUGUGUACAGUAACCUGAGGGGAGUGAGGUGAGUGCUUCUGAGGAGAACAUGAGCAGUGAAGAUUCACCUUGGAGCUAGAACAGAGACAUGCACAUGAUUAUACAGGGGCAGGGGCUCAAGUUUUUUCCAGUCGUUUAUACAAUAUGGAAAUUAAUGUGAAAUUAAAACACAAAGUAUUAAUAGAAAGGUAAUGACUGUCCUGUGUAGGUGACAGUGAUAUCCAAUAGGCUAGGCACUCACGAGGCUGGCUGUGGCAAGUGUAAGUGAAAGCAACACGCACUGGCAGGAAGAACAGCAAACGCCGAUGAAGGAAAAGGGUCUUUGCAGUGAUGGGCGUUAACAGAGAGGGCGAUGGCCAGAGGACACAAAUGGGACGGGGAGGCAGCACGUUGGGGGGGGGGGGGGGGGACACGCGACACGGCUCGGGCCCGCCAGUGCCCCAACGGGGUCCUAGUUAGGGCCCGAGCGUAGCUGCUAAGCAGCUGCGAGAGCCCUAUUAUUCCCCAAGUGGUUUUUCUUUGUUUCUUUUUAGGGCCCGAGCCAGCUGCAGAGCAGCCGGGCGUAGGCCCUAUUAUUCCCCAAGUGGUUUUUCUUUGUUUCUUUCUUUCUUUCUUUCUUCUUUUUCCUCCCCGUUGAACUGGAAAAUGGCCCACUUCCCACUGGCGAAAACUCAUGAAAUUUGGCAGGACGACCGGGCCUGGUGAAAAAUUCGAUAUUCUGAAGUCGCCCAAACAAUAAAAUGCAAAAUGGCUCCAUAGCGCCCCCUAAGGUGGAAAUUCACACUAUUGACUGUCACGCCUGUACGCUUUGUCAUAUUGACACAAAAAUUGACACACAUAUGUAUCUCAAUAAGAUCUACAAAAAAGUCAGUGCGGCCGUAUCUGUCAAAAUUACGGUUAAAGGGUUAUUUCGCAUUUUUUGCCGAUCCGCACACAUUGGAAUUUCGCUAACUCCUCCGAAGGCUUUCGUUCCACCGGCACCACAUUUGCUCAGGCCAAUCUACACCCCAUGGCCAUUAAAAGUUAUUCAAAUCAUGACGCUGCACCCCACGGUUUAGGUUCUAGGGGGCGCCAAAGAUAACCGUAAAAUCCACAUAUUUAAAAGUCUUAUAACUUUUUAUUUUUGUCCCCACUGGCCUCCAAGUUUUCUAGGAUGAUGCAAUGUCCAGCCAUCAACACAUUUGUGAAGGAAUUUUUACUCGCCAAAAGAGCGCCCCCCCAUGGCAGGAGAAAAAAGUCCAUUUUUUCUUGUCAACUAAGGUGAAAAUACACAUUGUUGAGUGCUACGCCUGUAUGUUUUGUCGUAUUGACACAAAAUUUUACAUACACGUGUAUUUCAAUAAGAUCUUCGAAAAAGUCAAUGGCCACGUAUCUGUAAAAUGUACGGUUAAAGGGUUAUUUCGCAUUUUUUGCAGAUUCGCACACAUUGGAAUUUCGCUAACUCCUCCAAAGGCUUUCGUUCCACCGGCACCACAUUUGCUCAGGCCAAUCUACACCCCAUGGCCAUUAAAAGUUAUUCAAAUCAUGACGCUGCACCCCACGGUUUAGGUUCUAGGGGGCGCCAAAGAUAACCCUAAAAUCCACAUAUUUAAAAGUCUUAUAACUUUUUAUUUUUGUCCUCACUGGCCUCCAAGUUUUCUAGGAUGAUGCAAUGUCCAGCCAUCAACACAUUUGUGAAGGAGUUUUUUCUCGUUAAAAGAGCGCCCCCCCAUGGCAGGAGAAUAAAGUCAAGUUUUUCCUGUUCAUCAUUCAAUGGCUCAAACGCACUGCUCUCUCGGCAAAAGCGAAAGGAGGAGCAACUUGCCAUUUGGAUAUAUCUUAGCUGUGUUUGUGCCCUCACUCAUGGUCCAGAUUUUUUUCAAAUAGGACAUGGAGUUUUUCUGCAGCGAGCGUUUUGGUAGAAACUGCGCCUCCCGUUCAUUAUAAUGGUAAAUGACCACAAACAAGUGCGCACACCAUCUUUGGACCUUGAGUGUGACGCGAUCGGGUGGGGGAGGCGGUCGCGCUGGGGGCGGCGUGACACGGCUCGGGCCCGCCAGUGCCCCAACGGGGCCCUAGUUAGGGCCCGAGCGUAGCUGCUAAGCAGCUGCGAGAGCCCUCUUGUUCCUGCAUGUUUCCUUCUUUUGUUAUUAUUAUUAUUUUUCCUCCCCUUUGAACUGGAAAAUGGCCCACUUCCCACUGGCGAAAACUCAUGAAAUUUGGCAGGACGACCGGGCCUGGUGAAAAAUUUGAUAUUCCGAAGUCGCCCAAACAAGAAAAUGCAAAAUGGCUCCAUAGCGCCCCCUAAGGUGAAAAUUCACACUAUUGACUGUCACGCCUGUACGCUUUGUCAAAAUGACACAAAAAUUGACACACACAUGUAUCUCAAUAAGAUCUACAAAAAAGUCAGUGCGGCCGUAUCUGUCAAAUGUACGGUUAAAGGGUUAUUUCGCAUUUUUUGCCGAUCCGCACACAUUGGACUUUCGCUAACUCCUCCGAAGGCUUUCGUUCCACCGGCACCACAUUUGCUCAGGCCAAUCUACACCCCAUGGCCAUUAAAAGUUAUUCAAAUCAUGACGCUGCACCCCACGGUUUAGGUUCUAGGGGGCGCCAAAGAUAACCCUAAAAUCCACAUAUUUAAAAGUCUUAUAACUUUUUAUUUUUGACCUCACUGGCCUCCAAGUUUUCUAGGAUGAUGCAAUGUCCAGCCAUCAACACAUUUGUGAAGGAAUUUUUAAUCCCCAAAAGAGCGCCCCCCAUGGCUGGAGAAAAAAGUCAAUUUUUUCUUGUCCCCUAAGGUGAAAAUACACAUUGUCGAGUGUCACGCCUGUACGCUUUGUCAUAUUGACACAAAAUUUGACACACACAUGUAUCUCAAUAAGUUCUACGAAAAAGUCAAUGCGCGCGUAUCUGUCAAAUGUACGGUCAAAGGGUUAUUCCGCAUUUUUUGCCGAUCCGCACACAUUGGACUUUCGCUAACUCCUCCGAAGGCUUUCGUUCCACCGGCACCACAUUUGCUCAGGCCAAUCUACACCCCAUGGCCAUUAAAAGUUAUUCAAAUCAUGACGCUGCACCCCACGGUUUAGGUUCUAGGGGGCGCCAAAGAUAACCCUAAAAUCCACAUAUUUAAAAGUCUUAUAACUUUUUAUUUUUGACCUCACUGGCCUCCAAGUUUUCUAGGAUGAUGCAAUGUCCAGCCAUCAACACAUUUGUGAAGGAAUUUUUAAUCCCCAAAAGAGCGCCCCCCCAUGGCUGGAGAAAAAAGUCAAUUUUUUCUUGUCCCCUAAGGUGAAAAUACACAUUGUCGAGUGUCACGCCUGUACGCUUUGUCAUAUUGACACAAAAUUUGACACACACAUGUAUCUCAAUAAGUUCUACGAAAAAGUCAAUGCGCGCGUAUCUGUCAAAUGUACGGUCAAAGGGUUAUUCCGCAUUUUUUGCUGAUCCGCACACAUUGGAAUUUCGCUAACUCCUCCUAAGGCUGGCGUUCCACCGGCACCACAUUUGCUCAGGCCAAUCUACACCCCAUGGCCAUUAAAAGUUAUUCAAAUCAUGACGCUGCACCCCACGGUUUAGGUUCUAGGGGGCGCCAAAGAUAACCCUAAAAUCCACAUAUUUCAAAGUCUUAUAACUUUUUAUUUUUGUCCUCACUGGCCUCCAAGUUUUCUAGGAUGAUGCAAUGUCCAGCCAUCAACACAUUUGUGAAGGAAUUUUUACUCCCCAAAAGAGCGCCCCCCCAUGGCAGGAGAAAAAAGUCCAUUUUUUCUUGUCCCAUAAGGUGAAAAAACACAUUGUUGACUGUCAUACCUGUACGCUUUGUCAUAUUGACACAAAAUUUGACAAUCACAUGUAUCUCAAUAAGAUCUACGAAAAAGUCAAUGCGCGCGUAUCUGUAAAAUGUACGGUUAAAGGGCUAUUUUGCAAUUUUUGCCGAUUCGCACACAUUGGAAUGUGGCUAACUCCUCCUAAGGCUUUCGUCCCACUGACACCAAAUUUGCUCAGGCCAAUCUACACCCCAUGGCCAUUCAAAGUUGUAAAAAUCAUGACGCUGCACCCCACGGUUUACGUUCUAGGGGGCGCCAAAGAUGACCCAAAUAUCCACAUUCUUAAAAGAAUCCACAUCCCCCCCCCCCAUCCCCCAACCCCCAUGGCAGGAGAAACAGUCAAGUUUUUCCUGCCCAUCACUCAAUGGCUCAAUCGCAUCACUCUCCCGGCAACACCGUAACAAGGAGCAACUUGCCGUUUGGAUAUAUCCUAGCUGUGUUUGUGCCCUCACUCAUGGUCCAGACUUUUUUCAAAUAGGACAUGUAGUUUGUCUGCAGCGAGUGUUUUGGUAGAAACUGCGCCUCCCAUUCAUUAUAAUGGGAAAUGACCACAGACAAGUGCGCACACCAUCUUUGGACCUUGAGUGUGACGCGAUCGGGAGGGGGAGGCGGUCGCGCUGGGGGCGGCGCAACGUGGCUCGGGCCCGACAGUGCCCCACCGGGGCCCUAGUGUUCUCCUUGUUUUUGUUCCUGCAUUUCAACUUCUCCUUGUGUCUAGUCUUCUCAUUUUUAGGGCCCGAGCGUAGCUGCUAAGCAGCUGCGAGAGCCCUCUUGUUCCUGUAGUUUCCUUCUUUUGUUAUUAUUAUUAUUAUUUUUCCUCCCCUUUGAACUGGAAAAUGGCCCACUUCCCACUGGCGAAAACUCAUGAAAUUUGGCAGGACGACCGGGCCUGGUGAAAAAUUUGAUAUUCCGAAGUCGCCCAAACAAGAAAAUGCAAAAUGGCUCCAUAGCGCCCCCUAAGGUGAAAAUUCACACUAUUCACUGUCACGCCUGUACGCUUUGUCAAAAUGACACAAAAAUUGACACACACAUGUAUCUCAAUAAGAUCUACAAAAAAGUCAGUGCGGGCGUAUCUGUCAAAUGUACGGUUAAAGGGUUAUUUCGCAUUUUUUGCCGAUCCGCACACAUUGGAAUUUCGCUAACUCCUCCGAAGGCUUUCGUUCCACCGGCACCACAUUUGCUCAGGCCAAUCUACACCCCAUGGCCAUUAAAAGUUAUUCAAAUCAUGACGCUGCACCCCACGCUUUAGGUUCUAGGGGGCGCCAAAGAUAACCCUAAGAUCCACAUAUUUAAAAGUCUUAUAACUUUUUAUUUUUGCCCUCACUGGCCUCCAAGUUUUCUAGGAUGAUGCAAUGUCCAGCCAUCAACACAUUUGUGAAGGAAUUUUUACUCCCCAAAAGAGCGCCCCCCAUGGCAGGAGAAAAAAGUCCAUUUUUUCUUGUCCCCUAAGGUGAAAAUACACAUUGUUGAGUGUAACACCUGUACGCUUUGUCAAAAUGACACAAAAAUUGACACACACAUGUAUCUCAAUAAGAUCUACAAAAAAGUCAAUGCGCGCGUAUCUGUCAAAUGUACGGUUAAAGGGUUAUUCCGCAUUUUUUGCCGAUCCGCACACAUUGGAAUUUCGCUAACUCCUCCAAAGGCUUUCGUUCCACCGGCACCACAUUUGCUCAGGCCAAUCUACACCCCAUGGCCAUUAAAAGUUAUUCAAAUCAUGACGCUGCACCCCACGCUUUAGGUUCUAGGGGGCGCCAAAGAUAACCCUAAGAUCCACAUAUUUAAAAGUCUUAUAACUUUUUAUUUUUGCCCUCACUGGCCUCCAAGUUUUCUAGGAUGAUGCAAUGUCCAGCCAUCAACACAUUUGUGAAGGAAUUUUUACUCGGCAAAAGAGCGCCCCCCAUGGCAGGAGAAAAAAGUCCAUUUUUUCUUGUCCACUAAGGUGAAAAUACACAUUGUUGAGUGCUACGCCUGUAUGUUUUGUCGUAUUGACACAAAAUUUUACAUACACGUGUAUUUCAAUAAGAUCUUCGAAAAAGUCAAUGGCCACGUAUCUGUAAAAUGUACGGUUAAAGGGUUAUUUCGCAUUUUUUGCAGAUUCGCACACAUUGGAAUUUCGCUAAUUCCUCCGAAGGCUUUCGUUCCACCGGCACCACAUUUGCUCAGGCCAAUCUACACCCCAUGGCCAUUAAAAGUUAUUCAAAUCAUGACGCUGCACCCCACGGUUUAGGUUCUAGGGGGCGCCAAAUAUAACCCUAAAAUCCACAUAUUUAAAAGUCUUAUAACUUUUUAUUUUUGUCCUCACUGGCCUCCAUGUUUUCUAGGAUGAUGCAAUGUCCAGCCAUCAACACAUUUGUGAAGGAGUUUUUUCUCUUUAAAAGAGCGCCCCCCAUGGCAGGAGAAUAAAGUCAAGUUUUUCCUGUUCAUCAUUCAAUGGCUCAAACGCACUGCUCUCUCGGCAAAAGCGAAAGGAGGAGCAACUUGCCAUUUGGAUAUAUCUUAGCUGUGUUUGUGCCCUCACUCAUGGUCCAGACUUUUUUCAAAUAGGACAUGGAGUUUUUCUGCAGCGAGCGUUUUGGUAGAAACUGCGCCUCCCGUUCAUUAUAAUGGUAAAUGACCACAAACAAGUGCGCACACCAUCUUUGGACCUUGAGUGUGACGCGAUCGGGUGGGGGAGGCGGUCGCGCUGGGGGCAGUGUGACACGGCUCGGGCCCGCCAGUGCCCCAACGGGGCCCUAGUUUCUUUUUCCUCCCCUUUGAACUGGAAAAUGGCCCACUUCCCACUGGCGAAAACUCAUGAAAUUUGGCAGGACGACCGGGCCUGGUGAAAAAUUUGAUAUUCUGAAGUCGCCCAAACAAUACAAUGCAAAAUGGCUCCAUAGCGCCCCCUAAGGUGAAAAAUUCACCUGACGCCUGUACGCUUUGUCAAAAUGACACAAAAAUUGACACACACAUGUAUCUCAAUAAGAUCUACAAAAAAGUCAGUGCGGGCGUAUCUGUCAAAUGUACGGUUAAAGGGUUAUUGCGCAUUUUUUGCCGAUCCGCACACAUUGGAAUUUCGCUAACUCCUCCGAAGGCUUUCGUUCCACCGGCACCACAUUUGCUCAGGCCAAUCUACACCCCAUGGCCAUUAAAAGUUAUUCAAAUCAUGACGCUGCACCCCACGGUUUAGGUUCUAGGGGGCGCCAAAGAUAACCCUAAAAUCCACAUAUUUCAAAGUCUUAUAACUUUUUAUUUUUGCCCUCACUGGCCUCCAAGUUUUCUAGGAUGAUGCAAUGUCCAGCCAUCAACACAUUUGUGAAGGAAUUUUUACUCCCCAAAAGAGCGCCCCCCCAUGGCAGGAGAAAAAAGUCCAUUUUUUCUUGUCCCAUAAGGUGAAAAUUCACACUAUUGACUGUCACGCCUGUACGCUUUGUCAAAAUUACACAAAAAUUGACACACACAUGUAUCUCAAUAAGAUCUACAAAAAAGUCCUGCGCGCGUAUCUAUCAAAUGUACGGUUAAAGGGUUAUUGCGCAUUUUUUGCCGAUACGCACACAUUGGAAUUUCGCUAACUCCUCCGAAGGCUUUCGUUCCACCGGCACCACAUUUGCUCAGGCCAAUCUACACCCCAUGGCCAUUAAAAGUUAUUCAAAUCAUGACGCUGCAUCCCAUGGUUUAGGUUCUAGGGGGCGCCAAAAAUAACCCAAAAAUCCACAUUCUUAAAUGUUUUAUAACUUUUUUUUUUUGUCCUCACUGGCCUCCAAGUUUUCUAGGAUGAUGCAAUGUCCAGCCAUCAACACAUUUGUGAAGGAAUUUUUACUCCCCAAAAGAGCGCCCCCCCAUGGUAGGAGAAAAAAGUCAAUUUUUUCUUGUCCCCUUACAUGAAAAUACACAUUGUUGAGUGUCACGCCUGAACGCUAUGUCAUAUUGACACAAAAAUUGAGAAUCAUGUGUAUCUCAAUUAGAUCUAUGAAAAAGUCAAAGAGCGCGUAUCUGUAUAAUGUACGGUUAAAGGGCUAUUUUGCAUUUUUUGCCGAUUCGCACACAUUGGAAUGUGGCUAUCUCCUCCUAAGGCUUUCGUCCCACCGAUACCAAAUUUGCUCAGGGCAAUCUACACCCCAUGCCCAUUCAAAGUUGUAAAAAUCAUGAUGCUGCACCCCACGGUUUACGUUCUAGGGGGCGCCAAAGAUGACCCAAAAAUCCACAUUCUUAAAAGUCAUUUUGGCCACUGCAGGAGUACAGAGUACUGCAGUUCUAGGGGGCGCCAAAGAUGACCCAAAAAUCCACAUUCUUAAAAGUCUUUUUGGCCACUGCAGGAGUACAGAGUACUGCAGGAUACACACACAUAUACACACACGCCAACAUACACACACACACAGACACACACACACACACACACACACACACACUCAGAGUCUGUUUUUUAGCACCUGCAAAAACAUGCUGUUUACAUAUUUGACAAGAAUGCAGAGGCUUCCUUUUGCCCCUGAAAAAAAUCAAAUUUCAAACACAACUUGACUGUUCAUUUCUCCAAAAGACAACCAUGAAGCUCCAUCCAAACCUGAAGCAGAUAGUUGGUGCAUGUGUACAGUAACCUGAGGGGAGUGAGGUGACUAUUUCUGAGGAGAACAUGAGCAGUGAAGAUUCACCUUGGAGCUAGAACAGGGACGUGCACAUGAUUAUACAGGGGCAGGGGCUCAAGUUUUUUCCAGUCAUUUAUACAAUAUGGAAAUUAAUGUGAAAUUAAACCACAAAUAUAUGUGAUGAACUGUUUUUAAAACUUAAACUUCAAAUAAAAAUUGUAAACUUCAAAACAUAUGCAAAUUUUUAACAAAGAACAUAGUAAUUUACCUCUAUUUACAUCAAAAUGCAGGCAAUGGCCCAGGCGUUCUUUGUAAAAUUAUUUACAAAACACUGUAUAGUCUCACAAAUGUCACUUUUUAUUUAUGCCACUACAAAAAAACAUGAUGUAAAUGAUGCAUGAUGUAAAACAUGAUGUAAGAAACUUGUGUAGAUCCUCCUCUAUGUUAGUCCAUGUGUAAUCUUUCCAUAAUUCUUUGUUUUUUGCAGCAUUUUUGUUAGUGUAACUGCAGAUUGUGCUGACAGUGUCUAUGGCAAAAAAAAAAAAAAAACUGAAAAUGCCUCAACAUGAACCCCUGGUGGUCUCUGAGGGUGAAACCUGCUAACUGCUGCAGCUCUGUCAGCUUUAGUCUCCCAUGCAGAGCUCGGAGCGCAUGUGUGGCUCUGCACCCUUAGCAGCGUUGCUAACUCCUCAGUAAGGAAAGCCUGCUUCAUGUCAGAGUCUCUAAACUCCAGAAGAAGUCGAUAAAAGUCCCUUUCUUUCUAAAAAAAAGUCGUUAGGGGGUCUGAAAAGUCAUUGAAUCUAACAACAAAGUCGCUAGGUUUGCAACUACGUGUCCCAGACUGCAUCCCUGCUGAGAGUCCCUCCCUCCCUUCUCAUGUUGCAGGAAGAACGUAAGCGCCCCCCUUGUCAAUCAGUCACCAUAUAAUUUUGGAUUGGUUGUUGUGGUGAAGUUUUCCACCAAUAGGAGAGAUGUUGUGGUGUGUUUUUUUUUUCUUUGGCAAGCCUUUUCCGCCUGUAAGACCUGUCGCUAAUGUCUGCAUGCUAUGUUUUCCUGUCUCAUACAGCGCGAUCGAGCGCCGAACGUGAUCAAAAUAAGCAGAAAAAAAGUAUCGCGGACAUAAUUUAUCAUAACUCUGGUUUUAUUUGGCCUAUCAACACAAUUUAAAAACUGGUAUAUAGGUUGAGGUCCUCACUUUUGAGAUAAGUUGAAACGGAGAGUCAACGAGGCUCCGUCUUGCUGCUACAUCCGGUUAAAUAUGUAAUGUGACUUGAACGCACACACAGACACACACACACGCACACACACACACACACACACUCAGAGUCUGGUUUUUAGCACCUGCAAAAACAUGCUAUUUACAUAUUUGACAAGAAUGCAGAGGCUCCUUUUGCCCCUGAAAAAAAUCAAAUUUCAAACACAACUUGACUGCUCAUUUCUCCAAAAGACAACCAUGAAGCUCCAUCCAAACCUGAAGCAGGCAGUUGGUGCAUGUGUACAGUAACCUGAGGGGAGUGAGGUGAGUGCUUCUGAGGAGAACAUGAGCAGUGAAGAUUCACCUUGGAGCUAGAACAGAGACAUGCACAUGAUUAUACAGGGGCAGGGGCUCAAGUUUUUUCCAGUCGUUUAUACAAUAUGGAAAUUAAUGUGAAAUUAAAACACAAAGUAUUAAUAGAAAGGUAAUGACUGUCCUGUGUAGGUGACAGUGAUAUCCAAUAGGCUAGGCACUCACGAGGCUGGCUGUGGCAAGUGUAAGUGAAAGCAACACGCACUGGCAGGAAGAACAGCAAACGCCGAUGAAGGAAAAGGGUCUUUGCAGUGAUGGGCGUUACCAGAGAGGGCGAUGGCCAGAGGACACAAAUGGGACGGGGAGGCAGCACGUUGGGGGGGGGGACGCGACACGGCUCGGGCCCGCCAGUGCCCCAACGGGGUCCUAGUUCUUCUUUUUCCUCCCCUUUGAACUGGAAAAUGGCCCACUUCCCACUGGCGAAAACUCAUGAAAUUUGGCAGGAUGACCGGGCCUGGUGAAAAAUUUGAUAUUCCGAAGUCGCCCAAACAAGAAAAUGCAAAAUGGCUCCAUAGCGCCCCCUAAGGUGAAAAUUCACACUAUUGACUGUCACGCCUUUACGCUUUGUCAUAUUGACACAAAAAUUGACACACACAUGUAUCUCAAUAAGAUCUACAAAAAAGUCAGUGCGGGCGUAUCUGUCAAAUGUACGGUUAAAGGGUUAUUUCCGCAUUUUUUGCCGAUCCGCACACAUUGGAAUUUCGCUAACUCCUCCGAAGGCUUUCGUUCCACCGGCACCACAUUUGCUAAGGCCAAUCUACACCCCAUGGCCAUUAAAAGUUAUUCAAAUCAUGACGCUGCACCCCACGGUUUAGGUUCUAGGGGGCGCCAAAGAUAACCCUAGAAUCCACAUAUUUAAAAGUCUUAUAACUUUUUAUUUUUGCCCUCACUGGCCUCCAAGUUUUCUAGGAUGAUGCAAUGUCCAGCCAUCAACACAUUUGUGAAGGAAUUUUUACUCCCCAAAAGAGCGCCCCCCCAUGGCAGGAGAAAAAAGUCCAUUUUUUCUUGUCCCCUAAGGUGAAAAUACACAUUGUUGAGUGUCACGCCUGUACGCUUUGUCAUAUUGACACAAAAUUUGACACACACAUGUAUCUCAAUAAGAUCUACGAAAAAGUCAAUGCGCACGUAUCUGUCAAAUGUACGGUUAAAGGGUUAUUCCGCAUUUUUUGCCUGAUACUCACACAUUGGAAUUUCGCUAACUCCUCCUAAGGCUGGCGUUCCACCGGCACCACAUUUGCUCAGGCCAAUCUACACCCCAUGGCCAUUAAAAGUUAUUCAAAUCAUGACGCUGCACCCCACGGUUUAGGUUCUAGGGGGCGCCAAAGAUAACCCUAAAAUCCACAUAUUUCAAAGUCUUAUAACUUUUUAUUUUUGUCCUCACUGGCCUCCAAGUUUUCUAGGAUGAUGCAAUGUCCAGCCAUCAACACAUUUGUGAAGGAAUUUUUACUCCCCAAAAGAGCGCCCCCCCAUGGCAGGAGAAAAAAGUCCAUUUUUUCUUGUCCCAUAAGGUGAAAAAACACAUUGUUGACUGUCAUACCUGUACGCUUUGUCAUAUUGACACAAAAUUUGACAAUCACAUGUAUCUCAAUAAGAUCUACGAAAAAGUCAAUGCGCGCGUAUCUGUAAAAUGUACGGUUAAAGGGCUAUUUUGCAUUUUUUGCCGAUUCGCACACAUUGGAAUUUCGCUAACUCCUCCGAAGGCUUUCGUUCCACCGGCACCACAUUUGCUCAGGCCAAUCUACACCCCGUGGCCAUUAAAAGUUAUCAAAAUCAUGACGCUGCACCCCACGGUUUAGGUUCUAGGGGGCGCCAAAGAUGACCCAAAUAUCCACAUUCUUAAAAGAAUCCACAUCCCCCCCCCAUCCCCCAACCCCCAUGGCAGGAGAAACAGUCAAGUUUUUCCUGCCCAUCACUCAAUGGCUCAAUCGCAUCACUCUCCCGGCAACACCGUAACGAGGAGCAACCUGCCAUUUGGAUAUAUCCUAGCUGUGUUUGUGCCCUCACUCAUGGUCCAGACUUUUUUCAAAUAGGACAUGAAGUUUGUCUGCAGCGAGUGUUUUGGUAGAAACUGCGCCUCCCAUUCAUUAUAAUGGGAAAUGACCACAGACAAGUGCGCACACCAUCUUUGGACCUUGAGUGUGACGCGAUCGGGAGGGGGAGGCGGUCGCGCUGGGGGCGGCGCGACGCGGCUCGGGCCCGACAGUGCCCCACCGGGGUCCUAGUUAGGGCCCGAGCGUAGCUGCUAAGCAGCUGCGAGAGCCCUAUUAUUCCCCAAGUGGUUUUUCUUUGUUUCUUUUUUCUUUUUCCUCCCCUUUGAACUGGAAAAUGGCCCACUUCCCACUGGCGAAAACUCAUGAAAUUUGGCAGGACGACCGGGCCUGGUGAAAAAUUUGAUAUUCUGAAGUCGCCCAAACAAUACAAUGCAAAAUGGCUCCAUAGCGCCCCCUAAGGUGAAAAAUUCACCUGACGCCUGUACGCUUUGUCAAAAUGACACAAAAAUUGACACACACAUGUAUCUCAAUAAGAUCUACAAAAAAGUCAGUGCGGGCGUAUCUGUCAAAUGUACGGUUAAAGGGUUAUUGCGCAUUUUUUGCCGAUCCGCACACAUUGGAAUUUCGCUAACUCCUCCGAAGGCUUUCGUUCCACCGGCACCACAUUUGCUCAGGCCAAUCUACACCCCAUGGCCAUUAAAAGUUAUUCAAAUCAUGACGCUGCACCCCACGGUUUAGGUUCUAGGGGGCGCCAAAGAUAACCCUAAAAUCCACAUAUUUCAAAGUCUUAUAACUUUUUAUUUUUGCCCUCACUGGCCUCCAAGUUUUCUAGGAUGAUGCAAUGUCCAGCCAUCAACACAUUUGUGAAGGAAUUUUUACUCCCCAAAAGAGCGCCCCCCCAUGGCAGGAGAAAAAAGUCAAUUUUUUCUUGUCCCAUAAGGUGAAAAUUCACACUAUUGACUGUCACGCCUGUACGCUUUGUCAAAAUUACACAAAAAUUGACACACACAUGUAUCUCAAUAAGAUCUACAAAAAAGUCCUGCGCGCGUAUCUAUCAAAUGUACGGUUAAAGGGUUAUUGCGCAUUUUUUGCCGAUACGCACACAUUGGAAUUUCGCUAACUCCUCCGAAGGCUUUCGUUCCACCGGCACCACAUUUGCUCAGGCCAAUCUACACCCCAUGGCCAUUAAAAGUUAUUCAAAUCAUGACGCUGCAUCCCAUGGUUUAGGUUCUAGGGGGCGCCAAAAAUAACCCAAAAAUCCACAUUCUUAAAUGUUUUAUAACUUUUUUUUUUUGUCCUCACUGGCCUCCAAGUUUUCUAGGAUGAUGCAAUGUCCAGCCAUCAACACAUUUGUGAAGGAAUUUUUACUCCCCAAAAGAGCGCCCCCCCUGGUAGGAGAAAAAAGUCAAUUUUUUCUUGUCCCCUUACAUGAAAAUACACAUUGUUGAGUGUCACGCCUGAACGCUAUGUCAUAUUGACACAAAAAUUGAGAAUCAUGUGUAUCUCAAUUAGAUCUAUGAAAAAGUCAAAGAGCGCGUAUCUGUAUAAUGUACGGUUAAAGGGCUAUUUUGCAUUUUUUGCCGAUUCGCACACAUUGGAAUGUGGCUAUCUCCUCCUAAGGCUUUCGUCCCACCGAUACCAAAUUUGCUCAGGGCAAUCUACACCCCAUGCCCAUUCAAAGUUGUAAAAAUCAUGAUGCUGCACCCCACGGUUUACGUUCUAGGGGGCGCCAAAGAUGACCCAAAAAUCCACAUUCUUAAAAGUCAUUUUGGCCACUGCAGGAGUACAGAGUACUGCAGUUCUAGGGGGCGCCAAAGAUGACCCAAAAAUCCACAUUCUUAAAAGUCUUUUUGGCCACUGCAGGAGUACAGAGUACUGCAGGAUACACACACAUAUACACACACGCCAACAUACACACACACACAGACACACACACACACACACACACACACACACUCAGAGUCUGUUUUUUAGCACCUGCAAAAACAUGCUGUUUACAUAUUUGACAAGAAUGCAGAGGCUUCCUUUUGCCCCUGAAAAAAAUCAAAUUUCAAACACAACUUGACUGUUCAUUUCUCCAAAAGACAACCAUGAAGCUCCAUCCAAACCUGAAGCAGAUAGUUGGUGCAUGUGUACAGUAACCUGAGGGGAGUGAGGUGACUAUUUCUGAGGAGAACAUGAGCAGUGAAGAUUCACCUUGGAGCUAGAACAGGGACGUGCACAUGAUUAUACAGGGGCAGGGGCUCAAGUUUUUUCCAGUCAUUUAUACAAUAUGGAAAUUAAUGUGAAAUUAAACCACAAAUAUAUGUGAUGAACUGUUUUUAAAACUUAAACUUCAAAUAAAAAUUGUAAACUUCAAAACAUAUGCAAAUUUUUAACAAAGAACAUAGUAAUUUACCUCUAUUUACAUCAAAAUGCAGGCAAUGGCCCAGGCGUUCUUUGUAAAAUUAUUUACAAAACACUGUAUAGUCUCACAAAUGUCACUUUUUAUUUAUGCCACUACAAAAAAACAUGAUGUAAAUGAUGCAUGAUGUAAAACAUGAUGUAAGAAACUUGUGUAGAUCCUCCUCUAUGUUAGUCCAUGUGUAAUCUUUCCAUAAUUCUUUGUUUUUUGCAGCAUUUUUGUUAGUGUAACUGCAGAUUGUGCUGACAGUGUCUAUGGCAAAAAAAAAAAAAAAACUGAAAAUGCCUCAACAUGAACCCCUGGUGGUCUCUGAGGGUGAAACCUGCUAACUGCUGCAGCUCUGUCAGCUUUAGUCUCCCAUGCAGAGCUCGGAGCGCAUGUGUGGCUCUGCACCCUUAGCAGCGUUGCUAACUCCUCAGUAAGGAAAGCCUGCUUCAUGUCAGAGUCUCUAAACUCCAGAAGAAGUCGAUAAAAGUCCCUUUCUUUCUAAAAAAAAGUCGUUAGGGGGUCUGAAAAGUCAUUGAAUCUAACAACAAAGUCGCUAGGUUUGCAACUACGUGUCCCAGACUGCAUCCCUGCUGAGAGUCCCUCCCUCCCUUCUCAUGUUGCAGGAAGAACGUAAGCGCCCCCCCCUUGUCAAUCAGUCACCAUAUAAUUUUGGAUUGGUUGUUGUGGUGAAGUUUUCCACCAAUAGGAGAGAUGUUGUGGUGUGUUUUUUUUUUUCUUUGGCAAGCCUUUUCCGCCUGUAAGACCUGUCGCUAAUGUCUGCAUGCUAUGUUUUCCUGUCUCAUACAGCGCGAUCGAGCGCCGAACGUGAUCAAAAUAAGCAGAAAAAAAGUAUCGCGGACAUAAUUUAUCAUAACUCUGGUUUUAUUUGGCCUAUCAACACAAUUUAAAAACUGGUAUAUAGGUUGAGGUCCUCACUUUUGAGAUAAGUUGAAACGGAGAGUCAACGAGGCUCCGUCUUGCUGCUACAUCCGGUUAAAUAUGUAAUGUGACUUGAACGCACACACAGACACACACACACGCACACACACACACACACACACUCAGAGUCUGGUUUUUAGCACCUGCAAAAACAUGCUAUUUACAUAUUUGACAAGAAUGCAGAGGCUCCUUUUGCCCCUGAAAAAAAUCAAAUUUCAAACACAACUUGACUGCUCAUUUCUCCAAAAGACAACCAUGAAGCUCCAUCCAAACCUGAAGCAGGCAGUUGGUGCAUGUGUACAGUAACCUGAGGGGAGUGAGGUGAGUGCUUCUGAGGAGAACAUGAGCAGUGAAGAUUCACCUUGGAGCUAGAACAGAGACAUGCACAUGAUUAUACAGGGGCAGGGGCUCAAGUUUUUUCCAGUCGUUUAUACAAUAUGGAAAUUAAUGUGAAAUUAAAACACAAAGUAUUAAUAGAAAGGUAAUGACUGUCCUGUGUAGGUGACAGUGAUAUCCAAUAGGCUAGGCACUCACGAGGCUGGCUGUGGCAAGUGUAAGUGAAAGCAACACGCACUGGCAGGAAGAACAGCAAACGCCGAUGAAGGAAAAGGGUCUUUGCAGUGAUGGGCGUUACCAGAGAGGGCGAUGGCCAGAGGACACAAAUGGGACGGGGAGGCAGCACGUUGGGGGGGACGCGACACGGCUCGGGCCCGCCAGUGCCCCAACGGGGUCCUAGUUAUUAUUUUUCCUCCCCUUUGAACUGGAAAAUGGCCCACUUCCCACUGGCGAAAACUCAUGAAAUUUGGCAGGACGACCGGGCCUGGUGAAAAAUUUGAUAUUCCGAAGUCGCCCAAACAAGAAAAUGCAAAAUGGCUCCAUAGCGCCCCCUAAGGUGAAAAUUCACACUAUUGACUGUCACGCCUAUACGCUUUGUCAAAAUGACACAAAAAUUGACACACACAUGUAUCUCAAUAAGAUCUACAAAAAAGUCAGUGCGGGCGUAUCUGUCAAAUUUACGGUUAAAGGGUUAUUUCGCAUUUUUUGCCGAUCCGCACACAUCGGAAUUUCGCUAACUCCUCCGAAGGCUUUCGUUCCACCGGCACCACAUUUGCUCAGGCCAAUCUACACCCCAUGGCCAUUAAAAGUUAUUCAAAUCAUGACGCUGCACCCCACGGUUUAGGUUCUAGGGGGCGCCAAAGAUAACCCUAAAAUCCACAUAUUUAAAAGUCUUAUAACUUUUUAUUUUUGUCCUCACUGGCCUCCAAGUUUUCUAGGAUGAUGCAAUGUCCAGCCAUCAACACAUUUGUGAAGGAGUUUUUUCUCGUUAAAAGAGCGCCCCCCCCAUGGCAGGAGAAUAAAGUCAAGUUUUUCCUGUUCAUCAUUCAAUGGCUCAAACGCACUGCUCUCUCGGCAAAAGCGAAAGGAGGAGCAACUUGCCAUUUGGAUAUAUCUUAGCUGUGUUUGUGCCCUCACUCAUGGUCCAGACUUUUUUCAAAUAGGACAUGGAGUUUUUCUGCAGCGAGCGUUUUGGUAGAAACUGCGCCUCCCGUUCAUUAUAAUGGUAAAUGACCACAAACAAGUGCGCACACCAUCUUUGGACCUUGAGUGUGACGCGAUCGGGUGGGGGAGGCGGUCGCGCUGGGGGCGGCGUGACACGGCUCGGGCCCGCCAGUGCCCCAACGGGGCCCUAGUGUUAUUAUUAUUAGGGCCCGAGCCAGCUGCAGAGCAGCCGGGCGUAGGCCCUGUUAUUCCUGUAGGGGUUUUUCUUUGUUUCUUUCUUUCUUCUUUUUCCUCCCCUUUGAACUGGAAAAUGGCCCACUUCCCACUGGCGAAAACUCAUGAAAUUUGGCAGGACGACCGGGCCUGGUGAAAAAUUCGAUAUUCUGAAGUCGCCCAAACAAUAAAAUGCAAAAUGGCUCCAUAGCGCCCCCUAAGGUGGAAAUUCACACUAUUGACUGUCACGCCUGUACGCUUUGUCAUAUUGACACAAAAAUUGACACACAUAUGUAUCUCAAUAAGAUCUACAAAAAAGUCAGUGCGGCCGUAUCUGUCAAAAUUACGGUUAAAGGGUUAUUUCGCAUUUUUGCCGAUCCGCACACAUUGGAAUUUCGCUAACUCCUCCGAAGGCUUUCGUUCCACCGGCACCACAUUUGCUCAGGCCAAUCUACACCCCGUGGCCAUUAAAAGUUAUCAAAAUCAUGACGCUGCACCUUAAGGUUUAGGUUCUAGGGGGCGCCAAAGAUAACACUAAAAUCCACAUAUUUAAAAGUCUUAUAACUUUUUAUUUUUGUCCUCACUGGCCUCCAAGUUUUCUAGGAUGAUGCAAUGUCCAGCCAUCAACACAUUUGUGAAGGAAUUUUUACUCCCCAAAAGAGCGCCCCCCCAUGGCAGGAGAAAAAAGUCCAUUUUUUCUUGUCCCCUAAGGUGAAAAUACACAUUGUUGAGUGUCACGCCUAUACGCUUUGUCAAAAUGACACAAAAAUUGACACACACAUGUAACUCAAUAAGAUCUACAAAAAAGUCCAUGCGCGCGUAUCUGUCAAAUGUACAGUUAAAGGGUUAUUCCGCAUUUUUUGCCGAUACGCACACAUUGGAAUUUCGCUAACUCCUCCGAAGGCUUUCGUUCCACCGGCACCACAUUUGCUCAGGCCAAUCUACACCCCAUGGCCAUUAAAAGUUAUUCAAAUCAUGAUGCUGCACCCCAUGGUUUAGGUUCUAGGGGGCGCCAAAAAUAACCCAAAAAUCCACAUUCUUAAAUGUUUUAUAACUUUUUAUUUUUGUCCUCACUGGCCUCCAAGUUUUCUAGGAUGAUGCAAUGUCCAGCCAUCAACACAUUUGUGAAGGAAUUUUUACUCCCCAGAAGAGCGCCCCCCCAUGGUAGGAGAAAAAAGUCAAUUUUUUCUUGUCCCCUUACAUAAAAAUACACAUUGUUGAGUGUCACGCCUGAACGCUUUGUCAUAUUGACACAAAAAUUGACAAUCAUGUGUAUCUCAAUUAGAUCUACGAAAAAGUCAAAGAGCGCGUAUCUGUAUAAUGUACGGUUAAAGGGCUAUUUUGCAUUUUUUGCCGAUUCGCACACAUUGGAAUGUGGCUAUCUCCUCCUAAGGCUUUCGUCCCACCGAUACCAAAUUUGCUCAGGGCAAUCUACACCCCAUGCCCAUUCAAAGUUGUAAAAAUCAUGACGCUGCACCCCACGGUUUACGUUCUAGGGGGCGCCAAAGAUGACCCAAAAAUCCACAUUCUUAAAAGUCAUUUUGGCCACUGCAGGAGUACAGAGUACUGCAGUUCUAGGGGGCGCCAAAGAUGACCCAAAAAUCCACAUUCUUAAAAGUCUUUUUGGCCACUGCAGGAGUACAGAGUACUGCAGGAUACACACACAUAUACACACACGCCAACAUACACACACACACACACACACACACACACAGACACACACACACACUCAGAGUCUGUUUUUUAGCACCUGCAAAAACAUGCUGUUUACAUAUUUGACAAGAAUGCAGAGGCUUCCUUUUGCCCCUGAAAAAAAUCAAAUUUCAAACACAACUUGACUGUUCAUUUCUCCAAAAGACAACCAUGAAGCUCCAUUUCAAACCUGAAGCAGAUAGUUGGUGCAUGUGUACAGUAACCUGAGGGGAGUGAGGUGACUAUUUCUGAGGAGAACAUGAGCAGUGAAGAUUCACCUUGGAGCUAGAACAGGGACGUGCACAUGAUUAUACAGGGGCAGGGGCUCAAGUUUUUUCCAGUCAUUUAUACAAUAUGGAAAUUAAUGUGAAAUUAAACCACAAAUAUGUGUGAUGAACUGUUUUUAAAACUUAAACUUCAAAUAAAAAUUGUAAACUUCAAAACAUAUGCAAAUUUUUAACAAAGAACAUAGUAAUUUACCUCUAUUUACAUCAAAAUGCAGGCAAUGGCCCAGGCGUUCUUUGUAAAAUUAUUUACAAAACACUGUAUAGUCUCACAAAUGUCACUUUUUAUUUAUGCCACUACAAAAAAACAUGAUGUAAAUGAUGCAUGAUGUAAAACAUGAUGUAAAAAACUUGUGUAGAUCCUCCUCUGUCAGUCCAUGUGUAAUUUUUCCAUAAUUCUUUGUUUUUUGCAGCAUUUUUGUUAGUGUAACUGCAGAUUGUGCUGACAGUGUCUAUGGCACAAAAAAAAAAAAUAAAUAAAAUGCCUCAACAUGAACCCCUGGUGGUCUCUGAGGGUGAAACCUGCUAACUGCUGCAGCUCUGUCAGCUUCAGUCUCCCAUGCAGAGCUCUGAGCGCAUGUGUGGCUCUGCACCCUUAGCAGCGUUGCUAACUCCUCAGUAAGGAAAGCCUGCUUCAUGUCAGAGUCUCUAAACUCCAGAAGAAGUCGAUAAAAGUCCCUUUCUUUCUAAAAAAAAGUCGUUAGGGGGUCUGAAAAGUCAUUGAAUCUAACAACAAAGUCGCUAGGUUUGCAACUACGUGUCCCAGACUGCAUCCCUGCUGAGAGUCCCUCCCUCCCUUCUCAUGUUGCAGGAAGAACGUAAGCGCCCGCCCCUUGUCAAUCAGUCACCAUAUAAUUUUGGAUUGGUUGUUGUGGUGAAGUUUUCCACCAAUAGGAGAGAUGUUGUGGUGUGUUUUUUUUUCUUUUGGCAAGCCUUUUCCGCCUGUAAGACCUGUCGCUAAUGUCUGCAUGCUAUGUUUUCCUGUCUCAUACAGCGCGAUCGAGCGCCGAACGUGAUCAAAAUAAGCAGAAAAAAAGUAUCGCGGACAUAAUUUAUCAUAACUCUGGUUUUAUUUGGCCUAUCAACACAAUUUAAAAACUGGUAUAUAGGUUGAGGUCCUCACUUUUGAGAUAAGUUGAAACGGAGAGUCAACGAGGCUCCGUCUUGCAGCUACAUCCGGUUAAAUAUGUCAUGUGACUUGAACGCACACACAGACACACACACACACACACACACACACACACACACACACACACACUCAGAGUCUGGUUUUUAGCACCUGCAAAAACAUGCUAUUUACAUAUUUGACAAGAAUGCAGAGGCUCCUUUUGCCCCUGAAAAAAAUCAAAUUUCAAACACAACUUGACUGGUCAUUUCUCCAAAAGACAACCAUGAAGCUCCAUCCAAACCUGAAGCAGGCAGUUGGUGCAUGUGUACAGUAACCUGAGGGGAGUGAGGUGAGUGCUUCUGAGGAGAACAUGAGCAGUGAAGAUUCACCUUGGAGCUAGAACAGAGACAUGCACAUGAUUAUACAGGGGCAGGGGCUCAAGUUUUUUCCAGUCGUUUAUACAAUAUGGAAAUUAAUGUGAAAUUAAAACACAAAGUAUUAAUAGAAAGGUAAUGACUGUCCUGUGUAGGUGACAGUGAUAUCCAAUAGGCUAGGCACUCACGAGGCUGGCUGUGGCAAGUGUAAGUGAAAGCAACACACACUGGCAGGAAGAACAGCAAACGCCGAUGAAGGAAAAGGGUCUUUGCAGUGAUGGGCGUUACCAGAGAGGGCGAUGGCCAGAGGACACAAAUGGGACGGGAAGGCAGCACGUUGGGGGGGGGACGCGACACGGCUCGGGCCCGCCAGUGCCCCAACGGGGUCCUAGUUAUUAUUUUUCCUCCGCUUUAAACUGGAAAAUGGCCCACUUCCCACUGGCGAAAACUCAGGAAAUUUGGCAGGACGACCGGGCCUGGUGAAAAAUUCGAUAUUCUGAAGUCGCCCAAACAAUAAAAUACAAAAUGGCUCCAUAGCGCCCCCUAAGGUGAAAAUUCACACUAUUGACUGUCACGCCUGUACGCUUUGUCAUAUUGACACAAAAAUUGACACACACAUGUAUCUCAAUAAGAUCUACAAAAAAGUCAGUGCGGGCGUAUCUGUCAAAUGUACGGUUAAAGGGUUAUUGCGCAUUUUUUGCAGAUCUGCACACAUUGGAAUUUCGCUAACUCCUCCGAAGGCUUUCGGUCCACCGGCACCACAUUUGCUCAGGCCAAUCUACACUCCAUGGCCAUUCAAAGUUGUACAAAUCAUGAUGCUGCACCCCAUGGUUUAGGUUCUAGGGGGCGCCAAAAAUAACCCUAAAAUCCACAUUCUUAAAAGUUUUAUAACUUUUUAUUUUUGCCCUCACUGGCCUCCAAGUUUUCUAGGAUGAUGCAAUGUCCAGCCAUCAACACAUUUGUGAAGGAAUUUUUACUCCCCAAAAGAGCGCCCCCCAUGGCAGGACAAAAAAGUCAAUUUUUUCUUGUCCCCUAAGGUGAAAAUACACAUUGUUGAAUGUCACGCCUGUACGCUUUGUCAUAUUGACACAAAAUUUGAUAAUCACGUGUAUCUCAAUAAGAUCUACGAAAAAGUCAAUGCGCGCGUAUCUGUAAAAUGUACGGUUAAAG
Molecule: non-coding RNA, 30567 nt
Organism: Xyrichtys novacula (pearly razorfish)
Lineage: Eukaryota; Metazoa; Chordata; Actinopteri; Labriformes; Labridae
Source: the annotation of a GenBank genome assembly